UACGAAGGGCCCGAGCGUUGCGCGGAAUCACUAGGCUUAAAGCGUGCGUAGGCGGGCAUGUAAGCACUUUGUGAAAUCCCUCGGCUCAACCGAGGAACUGCUUGGUGGACUGCAUGCCUUGAGGCAAGUAGGGGCUGUCGGAACGAUAGGUGGAGCGGUGAAAUGCGUUGAUAUCUAUCGGAACGCCGAAGAUGAAGACAGGCAGCUGGGCUUGUUCUGACGCUGAAGCACGAAAGCGUGGGGAGCGAACGGG
RNAcentral lists this ribosomal RNA (253 nucleotides) under uncultured bacterium. RNAcentral's name for it is "partial 16S ribosomal RNA". It matches the Rfam family "Bacterial small subunit ribosomal RNA", at positions 524 to 776 of the family's 1533-position model. The record is from RNAcentral.